AGCUCUGACUGUAGUAGGGCCCUCGGUCGAUCUUCUCUACCUUUAGGCCAACAUUGAAUGAAUCUAUCGAGCCGACCUCGUCUGAUGAGCUCCUCAAUCUCAUCUCAAAGCUGAAUACACUCCUCCAUGUCGUGACUGUGGUCACGAUGAUAGAGACAGAACUUGUUAGGGUUAUGCUUCUCAGGGUGUGUGCGCAUCUUUU
Molecule: long non-coding RNA, 202 nt
Filed under: Elaeis guineensis (African oil palm)
Lineage: Eukaryota; Viridiplantae; Streptophyta; Magnoliopsida; Arecales; Arecaceae
Description: long non-coding RNA (EGUI_LNC056107)
Source: RNAcentral